AUUGAACGCUGGCGGCAGGCUUAACACAUGCAAGUCGAGCGGGGUGAUGGUGCUUGCACUAUCACUUAGCGGCGGACGGGUGAGUAAUGCUUAGGAAUCUGCCUAUUAGUGGGGGACAACAUCUCGAAAGGGAUGCUAAUACCGCAUACGUCCUACGGGAGAAAGCAGGGGAUCACUUGUCACCUUGCGCUCAUAGAUGAGCCUAAGUCGGAUUAGCUAGUUGUGGGGGUAAAGGCCUACAAAGGCGACGAUCUGUAGCGGGUCUGAGAGGAUGAUCCGCAACACUUGGACUGAGACACGGCCCAGACUCCUACGGGAGGCAGCAGUGGGGAAUAUUGGACAAUGGGGGGAACCCUGAUCCAGCCAUGCCGCGUGUGUGAAGAAGGCCUUAUGGUUGUAAAGCACUUUAAGCGAGGAGGAGGCUUACCUAGUUAAUACCUGGGAUAAGUGGACGUUACUCGCAGAAUAAGCACCGGCUAACUCUGUGCCAGCCGCCGCCGUAA
Molecule: ribosomal RNA, 503 nt
Filed under: uncultured bacterium
Lineage: Bacteria
Description: partial 16S ribosomal RNA
Rfam family: Bacterial small subunit ribosomal RNA
Source: RNAcentral